Cavia aperea (Brazilian guinea pig) is the source of this 103-nucleotide small nuclear RNA. NCBI's taxonomy places the organism in Eukaryota, Metazoa, Chordata, Mammalia, Rodentia, Caviidae. The record is from Ensembl.
GUGCUUGACCAGCACAUAUACUAAAAUUAGAACAAUACAGAGAAGAUUAACAUGGCCCCUGCAUGAUGAUGGCAUGCAAAUUCAUGAAGCAGUCCAUUUUUUU